Long non-coding RNA from Gopherus evgoodei (Goodes thornscrub tortoise), 624 nucleotides. RefSeq lists it as uncharacterized. The record is from RefSeq and is a predicted model, not a curated record. Lineage: Eukaryota; Metazoa; Chordata; Testudines; Testudinidae. The transcript has 3 exons.
AAUGCUAGGAACUGGAUAUUUGUUUUCGUCCUGAGUCGGGAACAAUUUGAUUCAGAUGCAUCGCUACGACUUGGUCGAAGCAUUUCAUUGUGGCAAUGGUGAAAUGGGAUCCAUCCUACAGCACAAUGCUAGCCACACAUGACAGUGAAGAUAAUUAACUCAGACAGAACACAAGGAAAGUUCAUCAUCCUUCGCCUUCGUGACAGGCUCUGUCUUAGAUUGCCCAGUAUUCCUCCUCGGGAGAAGGCGAUGCUCUUUCGUUCCAUAGUGGAUCUGCGGAAGGCUGCAGCAGUUCCAGUCCUGGGGAGGUCCCACGCUGCUUCUCCCUCGCUCACUCUCGAAAGCGUCGCCCGUGGAAAAACGAGCAGCAAAGGAAAAUUCUGAACCGCCAAGAGACCCACUUUGCCUAACAGCAGUACCGGUCGGGCCUCUUUCUAGCAGCUGGCGUCUUCCGCUUCCUGCAGUCCGCUCCGUUCUCACCUGUUUGCCCAGCCCAUCGUUUAGUUUGCAAGCUGCUUGGCCCAGGGGACCAACUUUGUGUUUCCUCUGAAGCCCUCGGUAUGUUCACGGGCCUUAUAAAAUCAUCGUGACGCUGCAUCAAAGCAAGCGUUUAGCCAGAGAAAC